AUACUUACUGGACGGGGUUAAAGGGCAAUCAAGAAGGCCCAUGGCCUAGGCCGGUGACCUCCAUUGCACUUUGGAGUCCGCCUAAGAUCGGCCCAAUUGAGCCUACGUCAUAAUUAGUGGUAGAGGGCGCCGUAAAAAAAAAUCCCUA
RNAcentral lists this small nuclear RNA (148 nucleotides) under Nicotiana attenuata. RNAcentral describes it as "snRNA U1". It matches the Rfam family "U1 spliceosomal RNA". Rfam says of the family: U1 is a small nuclear RNA (snRNA) component of the spliceosome (involved in pre-mRNA splicing). Its 5' end forms complementary base pairs with the 5' splice junction, thus defining the 5' donor site of an intron. There are significant differences in sequence and secondary structure between metazoan and yeast U1 snRNAs, the latter being much longer (568 nucleotides as compared to 164 nucleotides in human). The record is from Rfam by way of RNAcentral. Lineage: Eukaryota; Viridiplantae; Streptophyta; Magnoliopsida; Solanales; Solanaceae.